UCGGUUCAACUGCAAAUUGGUUUAUCAAUACAAAUGCUAGAAUUCCACCUGUGAACACAAACAACUACACUAAUGGUUCACUUCCAAAUGGGUUUCUCAAUGCAAACUCUUAAAUUCUAAUUUCUCUUCUCCCAAUCCCGAUUCAUCUAAUCAUCAACAUCAUUUCUUCAAUUUUCUAGGUAAUUAAUUUAAAUUUAUGUUUAUUUAUGCUGUUUUUUGAUGAUUUCAAUUAUAUAGAUAGGACCAGUUUCGUCUCCCAUUUCACAAUUCUUUCAAUUCGUUCAUCUCUGGUAAAUUUACAAUUUUUACUACUCGAUUAUGUAUUAGGUUUUUUGAAUGGCCACCAGAAGACAUGAAUUUGUUAAGAAAAU
Molecule: long non-coding RNA, 371 nt
Filed under: Lathyrus oleraceus (garden pea)
Lineage: Eukaryota; Viridiplantae; Streptophyta; Magnoliopsida; Fabales; Fabaceae
Description: Pisum sativum (pea) long non-coding RNA (PSAT_LNC001023)
Source: RNAcentral